GCCGCCAAAUCAAAAUUCCUCUUUCACCUUUCGGUGUAAAAAAAAACAUAAAAAAAUCCCAAAUAUUAAAAAUAUAAAAAGAAAAAAAGAAAAAGCGAAGGAAGUCAUUUCUUUACUAAUUAACGGCCACACCAAAUCUACCAGAUCUAAUCUAACCGUAGAGAGAGACAAAGACAGAGAAGAUACACAGAGAUUUUGAGCUUGCGGCUAUGGAGGAGAAGCUUAUACAGAGGUUGGAAUCGGCUGUGGCGCGCCUAGAGUCGCUGUCGCUGUCGGGCGGUGCGGCGUCCGCGGCGGCGAGUGGCGAAGACGGGCCGCUGAACUCUGAACCUUGAAUUAAAACCCCAACCCAGAAGCAAAAGAGAGAGAGAAAUGAUUAACCCCCCCAACACAAACCCAUAGCUACAGUUCUGCCAAUACAUAAACAAAUAGCUAUAGGAAGUGACCAACUUCUCUUAGCAUAUCAAUACACCUGACCAAGAAGCUAGCAAAUCCGAAGUAAACAAGAAAGUGGAGGGCUGCGGGAGAGAGAAAUUCUUUUGAUGGUUUUCCGUUCUUGGGACUUUUAUUUGUUCAAUGAUAAGGCUUUUGCAAUUUGUUCAAUGGCAGACUAUUAAUUUGGGAAGAAUGUCAUUAUGAACCAUCAUUUCAGCCUCCUUCAAAUAUUGAACCAAUUUCUCUUCACAAAUCCAGAAGCAAAAGAAAAGAUGCCUCUGCUUCUCUGAUCGGAUCUGGGGUGGAGGAUGGGGGCUGGGGUUUCGGGUUCAUGGGUGCUGGGCUUGCGAGCUAGGGUAGAGGGUUCUGGGUUCGUGGGUGCUGGGGAAGAAGAAAUCAUCGGGGGAAGUGGGUUCGUGGGUGCUGGGGUUGGGGGAAGAAGAAAUCAUCGGAGAGAGAGAGAGAGAAAUAUUAUGAAUUUCCCAAUUUGAUCCAAUUCUGUGCAUCAACAUUUGAUUGUUAUAUCUUUUUCAGCAUCGUAGGACUUACUGCACCAAGAGAAUUGUCACUACGAAGUUGGGCAGUUGAGGAAUCUGCGAUUGUAGAUGAAGGUUAUAGACCAAGGAGAGGAUGGCCAACAAUAGUAGAGAGCAUUUUUUAUCGAGGUCGGUCAUUUCUUUCAAAGUGGAAGAGGGCAUUUUUGGCAUCAUGUGUAUUUCGGGUCUUAAUAGAUCCUUUAUUCUUUUUUAUUCCUAUCGUCAAGGAUACGAAGUGCAUCGGGUUGGACAACAGUUUGAAGAGAGCGGUUAUUUCACUACGAUCGACAAUUGAUCUAUUUUAUGUAGUGAACAUUGUUAUU
Non-coding RNA from Prunus mume (Japanese apricot), 1294 nucleotides. The record is from RefSeq and is a predicted model, not a curated record. Lineage: Eukaryota; Viridiplantae; Streptophyta; Magnoliopsida; Rosales; Rosaceae.